UACUACCGAAGCUACGGCAUCAGUAAUGAUGGGUAGGGGAGCUUCCCAUACGGGUUGAAGCAUGACCGUAAGGACAUGUGGACAGGAUGGGAGUGAGAAUGUUGGCAUGAGUAGCGAGAUGUGGGUGAGAAUCCCACAGGCCGUAAACCCCAGGUUUCCAGGGGAAGGUUCGUCCGCCCUGGGUUAGUCGGGACCUAAGCUGAGGCCGACAGGCGUAGGUGAUGGACAACAGGUGGAUAUUCCUGUACUACCGAUAACCGUUUGAGGGAAGGGAUGACCAAGUAGGAGAAGCAGAGCA
This 298-nucleotide ribosomal RNA is filed under the name Clostridioides difficile. Its description in RNAcentral is "partial 23S ribosomal RNA". It matches the Rfam family "Bacterial large subunit ribosomal RNA", at positions 1189 to 1493 of the family's 2925-position model. The record is from RNAcentral. Lineage: Bacteria; Bacillati; Bacillota; Clostridia; Peptostreptococcales; Peptostreptococcaceae.